GACGAACGCUGGCGGCGUGCUUAACACAUGCAAGCCGAGCGGUAAGGCCCUUUCGGGGGUACACGAGCGGCGAACGGGUGAGUAACACGUGGGUGACCUGCCCUCAGCUCUGGGAUAAGCCUGGGAAACUGGGUCUAAUACUGGAUAUGACUCCACGGUGCAUGUCGUGGGGUGGAAAGCCUUGUGCGGCUGAGGAUGGGCCCGCGGCCUAUCAGCUUGUUGGUGGGGUGAUGGCCUACCAAGGCGACGACGGGUAGCCGGCCUGAGAGGGCGACCGGCCACACUGGGACUGAGACACGGCCCAGACUCCUACGGGAGGCAGCAGUGGGGAAUCUUGCGCAAUGGGCGAAAGCCUGACGCAGCGACGCCGCGUGAGGGAUGACGGCCU
RNAcentral lists this ribosomal RNA (388 nucleotides) under uncultured bacterium. RNAcentral describes it as "bacterial SSU rRNA". It matches the Rfam family "Bacterial small subunit ribosomal RNA", at positions 28 to 417 of the family's 1533-position model. The record is from RNAcentral.